CUAUGUGGGCCUUGCUCGCUCAUCUAAUUUUCCGACUUUGGCCUGCUUGGUUCUGUAUUUUUAUUUAUUUUUUUAUUUAUCUUUGUAUCAUUUUUAGACUGAUACUCUUUUUUGUAUUUUUUCCUUAUCCCUUUUUUGUAUUUUUACCUUAUCCUAUGUUAAUUAGGUAUCCCAUUUUGUCUUAGGCUAUUUUAAAUUCUGAUAAAUUGAAUUAUUUUAGGCUAAAAUAUUUUGGCCCAAAUGUCA
RNAcentral lists this long non-coding RNA (246 nucleotides) under Salvia miltiorrhiza (redroot sage). Its description in RNAcentral is "long non-coding RNA (SMIL_LNC007475)". The record is from RNAcentral. Lineage: Eukaryota; Viridiplantae; Streptophyta; Magnoliopsida; Lamiales; Lamiaceae.